CACAGGCAGAAGGAGAAGCAGGCUCCAUGUAGGGAGCCCAAUGCGGGACUGGAUUCCGGGGCCGCGGGAUCACGCCCUGAGCCAAAGGCAGAUGCCCAACCGCUGAGCCACCCAGGCGUCCCAGAAGUCCUACAUUUCAAACCAGGGCUCCAAGGAAAUAGAGGAUGCCACCCAUAGCCUCCUUUGAUACCAAGACAUCUUUUGGGAGUGCCUCCAGGGUCACUUCAUGUCCUUUGUCUAGAGCCCCUUCAAGCUGUGGGAAAAGGGGCACGAGGGGAGCAGUGGCAGCCAGGCAGGCUGGGGGUACUUGGCCAGCCUCUAGGAAGACAUCCACUAUCAAUUCUCCAGGCCCACUGACCACCUUCUGUCACAUCAGAUCCCCUGUGAGUUACAACAC
This is a long non-coding RNA of Canis lupus familiaris (dog), 397 nucleotides long. RefSeq lists it as uncharacterized. The transcript has 3 exons. Lineage: Eukaryota; Metazoa; Chordata; Mammalia; Carnivora; Canidae. The record is from RefSeq and is a predicted model, not a curated record.